This 77-nucleotide transfer RNA is filed under the name Helianthus annuus (common sunflower). Its description in RNAcentral is "tRNA HanXRQr2_Chr14g0628931". It matches the Rfam family "tRNA". From Rfam's summary of the family: Transfer RNA (tRNA) molecules are approximately 80 nucleotides in length. Their secondary structure includes four short double-helical elements and three loops (D, anti-codon, and T loops). The record is from RNAcentral. Lineage: Eukaryota; Viridiplantae; Streptophyta; Magnoliopsida; Asterales; Asteraceae.
CGCAAUCGUUGUAGUAUAAUGGUAAGUAUUGCCGCCUAUCACGCGGGUGACCCGGGUUCGAUCCCCCGCAACGGCGC